GUAUCAUUUGUUCUAAAGUGUCUCAACUAAACUCAUAAACAGAUAAUAUUAGUUCACGUAAAAUAAGCUUCAAAAAUAAAAGACAAACAAUAGAUCAAAACUUGUAAGUAAGGUUAGCCAAUAUAUCCAAACAAUAUAAUUAAGACUCGAAAAGAGGAAGACUAAGAAAUAUUGGACUCCUAAUUUGUGAGGCUCCAAGCGUUGCGAUGAUCCUAAUUUGCUGUUGGCCUAAUAUCUUAGGCCAAUAACGAGUUCCAAAGUAGAAACUCCAGCUCUCCGGUUGUACAUGAAACAU
RNAcentral lists this long non-coding RNA (295 nucleotides) under Solanum tuberosum (potato). RNAcentral's name for it is "long non-coding RNA (STUB_LNC005637)". The record is from RNAcentral. Lineage: Eukaryota; Viridiplantae; Streptophyta; Magnoliopsida; Solanales; Solanaceae.